UUCUUUAAGGUUAAAUUUAAGGUAUUUUCUGCUCUAUGAUUAUUUUUAAUUAAAUGGCUGCAGUAUAUUGACUGUACAAAGGUAGCAUAAUAAUUAGUUUUUUAAUUAGGAACUUGAAUGAAUGGGUAAAUGAAGUAUAAUCUUUAUUUAGAUUAAAAUUAAAAUUUUAUUUUUUGGUAAAAAAGCUAAGGUUUGUUUUAGGGACGAGAAGACCCUAUAGAACUUUAAAUUUAAUUAAGUUUAUUUUUUUUUUAGUUUAAUUUAAAAUCUAUUAGGUUAAUAUUUUUAAUUGGGGUGAUUAGUAAAUUUAAAAAUCUUUACUUUAAUAUUUCAUAGGUUUAUGUUUUAAUGAUCCUUAGUGGAUUGUAAGAUAAGUUACCUUAGGGAUAACAGCGUAAUUUUAAUGGAAAGUUCAUAUUUAAAUUAAAGGUUGCGACCUCGAUGUUGAAUUAAGAUAAAAGUAUGGUGAAGAAGCUUUAUAUUUAAGUCUGUUCGACUUUUAAUAUCUUACA
This 512-nucleotide ribosomal RNA is filed under the name Dialodia pectinata. RNAcentral describes it as "partial large subunit ribosomal RNA". The stretch from base 386 to 512 matches the Rfam family "Bacterial large subunit ribosomal RNA", at positions 2473 to 2600 of the family's 2925-position model. The record is from RNAcentral. Lineage: Eukaryota; Metazoa; Arthropoda; Insecta; Hemiptera; Cicadellidae.